Molecule: unclassified non-coding RNA, 200 nt
Filed under: Hevea brasiliensis (rubber tree)
Lineage: Eukaryota; Viridiplantae; Streptophyta; Magnoliopsida; Malpighiales; Euphorbiaceae
Source: RNAcentral
UAUUUGCUCGGAGAAGCUAGGCAAAGCUCCAAUAGACGCAUUGUUUCACGAAUGGAGCACAAGAAGGACCAUAAAAGCACAUUCAAAGUCGCAUGUGAGGAUCCCGAGAUCUAUAUUUGCCAAACAUACGAAGAAAACAACACUUAGAUUCAAAGAAACUUCAUAGUCACAGAAAGAAGCGCUAGUAAACUAAGUAGAUG